This 427-nucleotide ribosomal RNA is filed under the name uncultured soil bacterium. Its description in RNAcentral is "bacterial SSU rRNA". It matches the Rfam family "Bacterial small subunit ribosomal RNA", at positions 26 to 442 of the family's 1533-position model. The record is from RNAcentral.
AGAGUGAACGCUGGCGGUAGGCCUAACACAUGCAAGUCGAACGGCAGCACGGUAAGAGCUUGCUCUUAUGGGUGGCGAGUGGCGGACGGGUGAGGAAUACAUCGGAAUCUACCUUUUGGUGGGGGAUAACGUAGGGAAACUUACGCUAAUACCGCAUACGCCCUUCGGGGGAAAGCCGGGGACCAGCAAUGGCCUGGCGCUGAUAGAUGAGCCGAUGUCGGAUUAGCUAGUUGGUGAGGUAAUGGCUCACCAAGGCGACGAUCCGUAGCUGGUCUGAGAGGAUGAUCAGCCACACUGGAACUGAGACACGGUCCAGACUCCGUACGGGAGGCAGCAGUGGGAAUAGUUGGACAAGUGGGCGCAAGCCUGAUCCAGCCAUACCGCGGUGGUGAAGAAGGCCGUUCGGUUAGUAACGUCCGUUUAGUUA